This 418-nucleotide ribosomal RNA is filed under the name uncultured prokaryote. RNAcentral describes it as "bacterial SSU rRNA". It matches the Rfam family "Archaeal small subunit ribosomal RNA", at positions 455 to 873 of the family's 1478-position model. The record is from RNAcentral.
GUGCCAGCAGCCGCGGUAAUACCAGCUCUCCGAGUGGUGGGGAUGAUUAUUGGGCCUAAAGCAUCCGUAGCCGGCUGGACAAGUCCCCUGUUAAAUCCAACGAUCCAAUCGUUGGUCUGCGGGGGAUACUGUCCGGCUUGGGGGCGGGAGAGGCCGCCGGUAUUUCCGGGGUAGGGGUGAAAUCCUAUAAUCCCGGGAGGACCACCAGUGGCGAAGGCUGUCGGCUAGAACGCGCCCGACGGUGAGGGAUGAAAGCUGGGGGAGCGAACCGGAUUAGAUACCCGGGUAGUCCCAGCUGUAAACGAUGCAGGCUAGGUGUUAGGGCGGCUACGUGCCGCUCUAGUGCCGCAGGGAAGCCGUUAAGCCUGCCGCCUGGGGAGUACGGUCGCAAGGCUGAAACUUAAAUGAAUUGACGGGG